AGCAUGGAUAUAAAAUGCAUCAUGCCACUCAACUUACCAGCAGUGAAACUGAUUACCAAUUAUAAUCAUUCUCUGCAUGGUGACAGCAUACCAAGAUGGAGAUGUUGAAUAUUUCAGUUUGCAAUAUUAUCUGGGUUGUUUAAAGUACUGACUACGUGUCCUGAAACCAAUAGAGGUAAUUGGUAUGCAUGUAAGAGCUGGCAGUCUGAGCACAUCACUUAUUUAUAGAGUCUUUUGAUGUAACUCUGUGGAAAAAAAUGUUAAUAAAACAUGGUUCAAAGGAAAAUUUACACUCACCAUUAUAAUAUGACAUAAAGUACAAAUUAUUGUACCUAAAUAACUGUUUUCUAGUGAAUAGUAUUCUUUUUUCCUUUUAUUGAACUAGUCCACUGAAACCUAACAGAAAGGGGGAGGGGAACACAAAGAACAAGAAGGCUAUUAGCUCUUUUCAUUUUCUGAUCCAGCUAUCUGGAAAUUAAGAUACAUACACAAGACAGGGAGUGGAAAAUCACUGGGUAUGUCAUUGCUUUCAUAACCUUCUUAUUUGCUCCACAAAUUGGUUUAUGGUCCUCUUAGGGCAUGUUCAUCAACAGACUCCAUGUCAACAAUUGAUAUGAAGCUUCAAAUGGACCAGAAAACAGGAUACAGGAGGAAACAAGGUGACCUUAGCUGAAAGGCAGCAAGACACUUAUAUUAGCCAUCAUAUCAGAAACCUUAUGCAGAAUCAAACUGUGUAUCAGAGGCAAGAAAAACAUAGAGCUUCUGGUUAACAAAUAAGGAGGAAAGAAAUACAACAUUAACAAGAACUGGUAAAAAGCAACUUCAUUAGUUGCAAAAUUCUUCGAGAGAGGGAAAACUUUAAAACUGAAGACAAAUGAAAAGAACAAAGUUAGAGAGACUAGACUAUUUCAGCAUGAAGAGGAAUAUUGGCAGUGAAACAUGGGUAAGGUCAAGUUCCCUGCAGGUUGACUGAUAUUGAGAUUGUAAAUCCAGAAGAAAAUACCAUUGAUACAAGGACGAGAUGGACCACUGGAGCUUUCCUUUAACCACUGUCAAGCUCAACACUGACUAGAGACACUUCCAAAGCUCUAUACACACUUGGAAAUGUGACCUGUCCUCAACUGGCAGAGUGACAUUACCUGCACAAUGCUUUUGUAGGAUCUCUGGUACAAGAGCUGGGAGGAACUUAGGGGCCAGAAUAUAAUGGCCUCCAACUACCCUCGAGUACUGUGUGCAGUUCUGGGCACCACAGUAUAAAAAGGACAUGAAACUGUUGGAGAGUGUCCAGAGGAGGGCUACGAAGAUGGUGAAAGGCCUGGAGGGGAAGACGUA
Molecule: non-coding RNA, 1332 nt
Organism: Anas platyrhynchos (mallard)
Lineage: Eukaryota; Metazoa; Chordata; Aves; Anseriformes; Anatidae
Source: RefSeq, a predicted model, not a curated record